GAUGAAGAACGUAGCGAAAUGCGAUAAGUAAUGUGAAUUGCAGAAUUCAGUGAAUCAUCGAAUCUUUGAACGCACAUUGCGCCCAUUAGUAUUCUAGUGGGCAUGCCUGUUCGAGCGUCAUUAAGUCCACUUAAGCCCUGCUUAGUGUUGGGAGACUGCUCCAGCGGUGCUACCCUGUAGCUACCCUGCAGCUCCUCAAAGACAGCGGCGGAGUUGUGGUAUCCUCUGAGCUUAGUAACUUGUUCUAGCUUUCGAGUACACCACUUCCCCUGCCGUAAAACCCUUAAUUUUUAAUGGUUGACCUCGGAUCAGGUAGGAAUACCCGCUGAGUUUAAGCAUAUCAAUAAGCGGAGGA
This 355-nucleotide unclassified non-coding RNA is filed under the name soil metagenome. RNAcentral's name for it is "partial contains 5.8S ribosomal RNA, internal transcribed spacer 2, and large subunit ribosomal RNA". The stretch from base 1 to 120 matches the Rfam family "5.8S ribosomal RNA", at positions 35 to 154 of the family's 154-position model. The record is from RNAcentral.